CUGGCUACCAUGCUGCUUUGAGGGCACUGAGUUACUAAUGCCCUCUGGAUUCUGUUUCCUUAUCUGUAAAAUAAUGAUAAUGGUACUUUGUAGGAUUUUUAAAAUAUAAAUAUCCCCAAAGCCUACCACAGUGUAUUGACACAGUAUAUACAGGCAAUAAUUACUGCAGACCCAUGUUUCCAAGUAUGGCUUGCAAAAAAAGAAGAGCCGAGGCCUGGGCCUGGGGUGGAGGUUGGAUACUGAGCACAGCCACUAAACUUGGAUUGAGAAGGAUACUCACCAAUCGGUUUGAGAUCUGCCAGUCAUCUCUCCUUGGGAGAAGCAUAGAAGUCGGACCCUCUCUGAAAAGGGCAGCUGAGCUGAGACUCACCAUAGAUCUGUCUUAGGGGUAAAGAAUUGAACAUGUCGAUGAAAGGGGUCUUCUUUUCCACCUGGGUCUUCCGGUACCACCACUUCAAGUACCUGAGGAGCAAGUGUUGAGUGUGAGUGUGAGGUGAGCGGGCUGUUUCCUAAAGCUGCACUCAUCAUCCUUCCCCUGGUCACCUCACUGUGACCUCCAACUCAGUGUCCCAAGGAUGUCAGCUUCUAUGAACAUUCCUAUAAUCUUAGCAUUCUGAAAGCUGAGGCAGAGGGAUUACAAGUUUGAGGCCAGCAUGGGCUACAUGGUGAGACUGUCUAAGACCCAUCACUAUUAUCUUCCAAGCCACCUUCCUCUGAUUACUCAAGUUCAAGGUCCCUUAUCUUCCCAGUUGCCCAAGUACUAGUGUAGGAUGCCCUUGUUUCUCUAUUCUGAGAGAACAGCAAUUCUUCUAACUACCACUACCACUGUUUUAGCUCAAACUGCAGGAGAUUUUGUCUGUGUUGAAAGGGCCAGUUGCCUGCCCUGGUUACAUUUUCCUCCACACAUCCCCCUAAUUUCCAAAUAAGCAGAGGCUGCCAAAAGGACUUCCUCUUUUAAAAACGAUUUCAUUUAUGAUUAUGAAAGGUGAGAAAUUGAAAAAUAUAUCAGGUGGAAGGAAAACCAUCUCAGCUGAAGAUAACUGAUGUGUAUCUAUAUCGUGGACCAUUUCCUCUUAAGCCCCAUCCCUGCUUCAGCAUUUAAUUUUCAGUUUUCAGAUUUUGUUCUUCCAAAAUACCCAAUAAAGUAACUGGUCAUGA
Grammomys surdaster is the source of this 1158-nucleotide long non-coding RNA. RefSeq lists it as uncharacterized. Lineage: Eukaryota; Metazoa; Chordata; Mammalia; Rodentia; Muridae. The record is from RefSeq and is a predicted model, not a curated record. The transcript is spliced from 2 exons.